Molecule: ribosomal RNA, 258 nt
Filed under: uncultured bacterium
Lineage: Bacteria
Description: partial 16S ribosomal RNA
Rfam family: Bacterial small subunit ribosomal RNA
Source: RNAcentral
GCAAGUUGAGGGCUGAAGGUUGGUACUUGUACCAACUGGAUGAGCAGCGAACGGGUGAGUAACGCGUGGGGAAUCUGCCUUUGAGCGGGGGACAACAUUUGGAAACGAAUGCUAAUACCGAAUAAAAACUUUAAACACAAGUUUUAAGUUUGAAAGAUGCAAUGGCAUCACUCAAAGAUGAUCACGCGUCGUAUUAGCUAGAUGGUGAGGUAACGGCUCACCAAGGCGAUGAUACAUAGCCGACCUGAGAGGGUGAUC